This 251-nucleotide ribosomal RNA is filed under the name uncultured prokaryote. RNAcentral describes it as "partial 16S rRNA". It matches the Rfam family "Bacterial small subunit ribosomal RNA", at positions 525 to 775 of the family's 1533-position model. The record is from RNAcentral.
ACGGAGGGUGCAAGCGUUGUCCGGAAUCAUUGGGCGUAAAGAGUUCGUAGGUGGUAUGUUAAGUCUGGUGUUAAAUCCCGAAGCUCAACUUCGGUCCGGCAUUGGAUACUGGCGAUCUUGAAUGUGGUAGAGGUAAGGGGAAUUCCUGGUGUAGUGGUGAAAUGCGUAGAUAUCAGGAGGAACACCGGUGGCGAAAGCGCUUUUCUGGGCCAUAAUUGACACUGAGGAACGAAAGCCAGGGUAGCAAAUGG